GACGAACGCUGGCGGCGUGCUUAACACAUGCAAGUCGAACGGAAAGGCCCUGCUUUUGUGGGGUGCUCGAGUGGCGAACGGGUGAGUAACACGUGAGUAACCUGCCCUUGACUUUGGGAUAACUUCAGGAAACUGGGGCUAAUACCGGAUAGGAGCUCCUGCUGCAUGGUGGGGGUUGGAAAGUUUCGGCGGUUGGGGUUGGACUCGCGGCUUAUCAGCUUGUUGGUGGGGUAGUGGCUUACCAAGGCUUUGACGGGUAGCCGGCCUGAGAGGGUGACCGGCCACAAUAGGACUGAGGUACGGCCCAGACUCCUACGGGAGGCAGCAGUGGGGAAUAUUGCACAAUGGGCGGAAGCCUGAUGCAGCAACGCCGCGUGCGGGAUGACGGCCUUCGGGUUGUAAACCGCUUUCGCCUGUGACGAAGCGUGAGUGACGGUAAUGGGUAAAGAAGCACCGGCUAACUACGUG
This 468-nucleotide ribosomal RNA is filed under the name uncultured bacterium. RNAcentral describes it as "partial 16S ribosomal RNA". It matches the Rfam family "Bacterial small subunit ribosomal RNA", at positions 28 to 507 of the family's 1533-position model. The record is from RNAcentral.